This 406-nucleotide ribosomal RNA is filed under the name uncultured bacterium. RNAcentral's name for it is "partial 16S ribosomal RNA". It matches the Rfam family "Bacterial small subunit ribosomal RNA", at positions 30 to 526 of the family's 1533-position model. The record is from RNAcentral.
AUUGAACGCUAGCGGGAUGCCUUACACAUGCAAGUCGAACGAGUGGCGAACGGGUGAGUAAUGUAUCGGAACGUGCCCAGUAGCGGGGGAUAACUACGCGAAAGCGUAGCUAAUACCGCAUACCAUCGGAUGUGCCCAGAUGGGAUUAGCUAGUAGGUGGGGUAAUGGCUCACCUAGGCGACGAUCCCUAGCUUGUCUGUGAGGAUGACCAGCCAGACGGGAACUAAUGCACAGUCCAGACUCCACCGGGAGGCAGCAGUGGGGAAUAUUGCGCAAUGGGCGCAAGCCUGAUGCAGCCAUGCCGCGUGUAUGGAGAAGGCCUUCGGGUUGUAAAGUACUUUCAGCGAUGAGGCGUUACUCGCAGAAGAAGCACCGGCUAACUCCGUACCAGCAGCCGCGGUAAUAC